AAAUAUCAACAGGCCAUGAAGGACUUAUACACACAUCUAACCCCUAUACAACGUGUGAACAUUGCCCGACACCCUAACAGACCUACAUUCCUUUAUCAUGUAUUUAGCAUUACUGAUAAGUUUGUGGAACUUCAUGGAGAUCGAUUGGGGU
This is a long non-coding RNA of Hibiscus syriacus, 151 nucleotides long. RefSeq lists it as uncharacterized. The transcript has 3 exons. Lineage: Eukaryota; Viridiplantae; Streptophyta; Magnoliopsida; Malvales; Malvaceae. The record is from RefSeq and is a predicted model, not a curated record.